RNAcentral lists this long non-coding RNA (397 nucleotides) under Sander lucioperca (pikeperch). Its description in RNAcentral is "lncRNA (ENSSLUG00000009639.1)". The record is from RNAcentral. Lineage: Eukaryota; Metazoa; Chordata; Actinopteri; Perciformes; Percidae.
GGGAGAUCACCAAGAGGGAGAAACAGCAGGUCAUAAAGCGUGUGCAUGAAGACUGCUCCAGGGUGAGAAGCGACAUGUGCCAGGCACUGAGCAUACAGCACUACCUGGCCUCACUGCUGGCAGAGACGGACCCCUUCCUGCUCAUCUGGGCCUUUCAAUCAGAUGACACAAAGUUACUAGCCGACCUGAACAACCCGCUUUUCAUCCCUGAUGCCGUCAGUCUGGACAGGAAACACAUCUUGGAGGACAUCGAGAGCAAGUAUCGAGAGUUUAUCACCGGCACCCUCCGCUGCCUCAGUGAACUCAAGAGGGAGCUCUGUGAGUGACAGAUGGGUGACACAAGCCUGCCCCCAUUUAUUUAACUUUCUUAAAGGAAUGGUUUGAUAAUAUUUUUGGA